RNAcentral lists this ribosomal RNA (256 nucleotides) under Scrippsiella hangoei. RNAcentral's name for it is "partial Bacterial small subunit ribosomal RNA". Lineage: Eukaryota; Dinophyceae; Peridiniales; Peridiniaceae. The record is from RNAcentral.
UGAUGACCUUGAAAAACAUGGCCGUAGAGUCAGACAUCGCGAUUCCACUUUUCGUCGUCACGGACAUCUUGCUGUUUUCGGUGGCCAUUUUCGUCUUCGCAGAGCCCUGCAAGCAGUGCCGCCGCGCCGCCGCGCCGCCGACGUUUGACAUCGACAUCGACGAAAUACAUCGGCGCAGCACUUGCUGAGGCCGAACCCGAGGACCAGGCCGAGGCUCCAACCUUUGGCGCGAUGGCGGUGGAGGAGCCCUAGCCUU